UUGGGGAUAUUGCACAAUGGAGGAAACUCUGAUGCAGCGACACCGCGUGAGGGAAGAAGGUUUUCGGAUUGUAAACCUCUGUCUUCGGGGACGAUAAUGACGGUACCCGAGGAGGAAGCCACGGCUAACUACGUGCCAGCAGCCGCGGUAAUACGUAGGUGGCAAGCGUUGUCCGGAAUUACUGGGUGUAAAGGGAGCGUAGGCGGUUUGAUAAGUUGAAUGUGAAAUCUAUCGGCUCAACUGAUAGGCUGCGUUCAAAACUAUUGAACUUGAGUGAAGUAGAGGCAGGCGGAAUUCCCGGUGUAGCGGUGGAAUGCGUAGAUAUCGGGAGGAACACCAGUGGCGAAGGCGGCCUGCUGGGCUUUUACUGACGCUGAGGCUCGAAAGCAUGGGGAGCAAACA
Molecule: ribosomal RNA, 402 nt
Filed under: uncultured prokaryote
Description: bacterial SSU rRNA
Rfam family: Bacterial small subunit ribosomal RNA
Source: RNAcentral